Small nuclear RNA from Suncus etruscus (white-toothed pygmy shrew), 107 nucleotides. Lineage: Eukaryota; Metazoa; Chordata; Mammalia; Eulipotyphla; Soricidae. The record is from RefSeq and is a predicted model, not a curated record.
GUGCUUGCUUUGGCAGCACAUAUACUAAAAUUGGAACGAUACAGAGAAGAUUAGCAUGGCCCCUGCACAAGGAUGAUAUGCAAAUUCAUAAAACGUUCCAUAUUUUU